RNAcentral lists this ribosomal RNA (393 nucleotides) under uncultured bacterium. RNAcentral's name for it is "partial 16S ribosomal RNA". It matches the Rfam family "Bacterial small subunit ribosomal RNA", at positions 523 to 918 of the family's 1533-position model. The record is from RNAcentral.
AUACGGAGGGUGCGAGCGUUAUCCGGAUUUAUUGGGUUUAAAGGGAGCGUAGGUGGGAUAUUAAGUCAGCUGUGAAAGUUUGGGGCUCAACCUUAAAAUUGCAGUUGAUACUGGUUUCCUUGAGUACGGUACAGGUGGGCGGAAUUCGUGGUGUAGCGGUGAAAUGCUUAGAUAUCACGAAGAACUCCGAUCGCGAAGGCAGCUCACCGGGCCGGAACUGACACUGAUGCUCGAAAGUGCGGGUAUCAAACAGGAUUAGAUACCCUGGUAGUCCGCACAGUAAACGAUGAAUACUCGCUGUUUGCGAUACACGGUAAGCGGCCAAGCGAAAGCGUUAAGUAUUCCACCUGGGGAGUACGCCGGCAACGGUGAAACUCAAAUGAAUUGACGGGG